RNAcentral lists this ribosomal RNA (216 nucleotides) under Glomeromycotina sp. Its description in RNAcentral is "partial small subunit ribosomal RNA". The stretch from base 32 to 216 matches the Rfam family "Eukaryotic small subunit ribosomal RNA", at positions 678 to 864 of the family's 1831-position model. The record is from RNAcentral. Lineage: Eukaryota; Fungi; Glomeromycota.
GGGUCAGUAGGUUGGUCGUGCCACCGGUACGUAUUGGUCUCACUGAUUCCUCCUUCCUGAAGAACCGUAAUGCCACUAAUUUGGUGUUGCGGGGAAACAGGACUGUUACUUUGAAAAAAUUAGAGUGUUUAAAGCAAGCUAACGCUUGAAUACAUUAGCAUGGAAUAAUGAAAUAGGACGAUCGAUCCUAUUUUGUUGGUUUCUAGGAUUGACGUA